This 465-nucleotide ribosomal RNA is filed under the name uncultured bacterium. Its description in RNAcentral is "partial 16S ribosomal RNA". It matches the Rfam family "Bacterial small subunit ribosomal RNA", at positions 28 to 507 of the family's 1533-position model. The record is from RNAcentral.
GACGAACGCUGGCGGCGUGCUUAACACAUGCAAGUCGUACGGUAAGGCCCUUUCGGGGGUACACUAGUGGCGAACGGGUGAGUAACACGUGAGUAACCUGCCCACAACUUUGGGAUAACGCUAGGAAACUGGUGCUAAUACUGGAUAUGUGCUCCUGCUGCAUGGUGGGGGUUGGAAAGCUCCGGCGGUUGUGGAUGGACUCGCGGCCUAUCAGCUUGUUGGUGGGGUAGUGGCCUACCAAGGCGGCGACGGGUAGCCGGCCUGAGAGGGUGACCGGCCACAUUGGGACUGAGAUACGGCCCAGACUCCUACGGGAGGCAGCAGUGGGGAAUAUUGCACAAUGGGCGCAAGCCUGAUGCAGCAACGCCGCGUGCGGGAUGACGGCCUUCGGGUUGUAAACCGCUUUCAGCAGGGACGAAGCUUUUUGUGACGGUACCUGCAGAAGAAGCACCGGCUAACUACGUG